This 335-nucleotide long non-coding RNA is filed under the name Ananas comosus (pineapple). Its description in RNAcentral is "long non-coding RNA (ACOM_LNC021737)". The record is from RNAcentral. Lineage: Eukaryota; Viridiplantae; Streptophyta; Magnoliopsida; Poales; Bromeliaceae.
UACAAGGAUAUAUCUGAAAAUACUAACUUUAUAGCUUUAUAUAUAUAUAUAUAGAGAGAGAGAGAGUCCGGCUACUAUACUUUUAUGAGUAUAGAGCCUACUGUACUCAUAAGUUUUUGGCCGUUAGAUCUACCCUUUAAUUAUUUUCACCCGUUGGAUUAUACUAUUCAACCAAUCACCCACUCAACCAUAGGGGGCCCACUAUCAAUCUAACCGUAAUCACUUUCAUCCUAACCGUAUAUUUUUUUAUCUGAACGGUCGAAAAUUUAUGAGUACAAAGGGCUCUAUACUCAUAUGAGUAUAGUAGCCCCAGCCUAUAUAUAUAUAUAUAUAUU